This 488-nucleotide ribosomal RNA is filed under the name Streptococcus mutans. Its description in RNAcentral is "bacterial SSU rRNA". It matches the Rfam family "Bacterial small subunit ribosomal RNA", at positions 28 to 492 of the family's 1533-position model. The record is from RNAcentral. Lineage: Bacteria; Bacillati; Bacillota; Bacilli; Lactobacillales; Streptococcaceae.
GACGAACGCUGGCGGCGUGCCUAAUACAUGCAAGUGGGACGCAAGGGAACACACUGUGCUUGCACACCGUGUUUUCUUGAGUCGCGAACGGGUGAGUAACGCGUAGGUAACCUGCCUAUUAGCGGGGGAUAACUAUUGGAAACGAUAGCUAAUACCGCAUAAUAUUAAUUAUUGCAUGAUAAUUGAUUGAAAGAUGCAAGCGCAUCACUAGUAGAUGGACCUGCGUUGUAUUAGCUAGUUGGUAAGGUAAGAGCUUACCAAGGCGACGAUACAUAGCCGACCUGAGAGGGUGAUCGGCCACACUGGGACUGAGACACGGCCCAGACUCCUACGGGAGGCAGCAGUAGGGAAUCUUCGGCAAUGGACGAAAGUCUGACCGAGCAACGCCGCGUGAGUGAAGAAGGUUUUCGGAUCGUAAAGCUCUGUUGUAAGUCAAGAACGUGUGUGAGAGUGGAAAGUUCACACAGUGACGGAGCUACCAGAAAGGC